This 765-nucleotide long non-coding RNA is filed under the name Salmo salar (Atlantic salmon). RNAcentral's name for it is "lncRNA (ENSSSAG00000099756.1, ENSSSAG00000104492.1)". Lineage: Eukaryota; Metazoa; Chordata; Actinopteri; Salmoniformes; Salmonidae. The record is from RNAcentral.
GUGAGGCCAUGAAGCUCCGACACAAUCUCACCACGCUACUGCACGCGCUCAGAGCAGACAUGGAACGGACCCUAUUGGACACUGUGGGUGACCAGGAAGAGGACAGAGACAACGCCAAGAUGCUGGUCCAGUCAGAGGAGUCCCUGGGCGACCAUGUGACAGGGGGUGUGGUCCAGGGAUGGAAGAGUGUGCAGAGGAGACUAGGGGACCUCCUGAGUCAGGGUCACGUGGCUGUGGGGACUGACCAGGAUAAGCUCUUGGCCCAGCUAGAGACAGAGUUGGAUCAGAGUCAACAGCUGGUCAAACUGCAGCCGCAUCUACUACAGCCGCUCUGACAGACUGCUACUUCCUGGAAGAGUGGGAGCGGCUUCAGAGCAUCUGGGCGGAGCUAGAACACCAGAAGCGGAGCUUCCAUAGGGAGAGACGGGCCUUCACCGAUGCCGCCAUCCGAUUGGGCCACGAGAUCUCUCAGAUUCUGAUCACAUGAUCCUGUCCGGCUGCCGCCAGGCCACGCCCUCCUCUGGGAUCAUGCCCUGGUUAGGGUCAUCGGGGUCUCUGCAGGUUCAUGGCAGGGUCAAAGUUUGCACCCCAGAGCUCUACUCUGCCCUCCAACUGCAGGUCCAGUGAGAGUGAUGCUCAGUCAGAGUGCUGGGAUGUGCUGGCAGAGAGGCUCCAGUUCGCCGCCACUGGUACUCGCCUGGACUGGUCAUUUCAGUAGGAUGGCUGUUUCUGUCGUUUCCAUUGUAUGUUUGUAUAAUAUUGUCU